AUCAACAUCAUGAACAAUGAACUACACAUGUAACCAUAUAUGUAAAUAUACUCCACAACUGACUCAUUAUGCAUACGGUAUCAUCCAUGAACACUCAGGUUCAUCUCGCUCCUGAUCCCCACCAUAGGACCAAAGUACACCUAAUCUUUACAAUCACCAUAGGUAACAUUUCACCAGCCCCCACCUGGAACCGGCUACUCGCUCUUAAUCCUCAACAUAGGACCAGAGCAUACAAAAGUUGAUUACCAUUAACAUAGGUAACACUUGACUAAUUCUUC
RNAcentral lists this long non-coding RNA (278 nucleotides) under Lathyrus oleraceus (garden pea). RNAcentral describes it as "Pisum sativum (pea) long non-coding RNA (PSAT_LNC033984)". The record is from RNAcentral. Lineage: Eukaryota; Viridiplantae; Streptophyta; Magnoliopsida; Fabales; Fabaceae.